This 136-nucleotide small nucleolar RNA is filed under the name Carlito syrichta (Philippine tarsier). RNAcentral's name for it is "U8 small nucleolar RNA (ENSTSYG00000031228.1)". It matches the Rfam family "U8 small nucleolar RNA". Rfam says of the family: U8 is a member of the C/D class of snoRNA which contain the C (UGAUGA) and D (CUGA) box motifs. U8 is the RNA component of a small complex (the U8 snoRNP) which is required for accumulation of mature large subunit ribosomal RNAs, 5.8S and 28S rRNAs. Lineage: Eukaryota; Metazoa; Chordata; Mammalia; Primates; Tarsiidae. The record is from Rfam by way of RNAcentral.
UCAUCAUGGGGGAUAAUCCUUAACUCUUCCUCCUUUUGGAGGGCAGAUUAGAACAUGAUGAUUGGAGUUUACAUGAUGCAUAAUUAUUGUCUUUGCAUAAUCAGGAUUUGUAAUAUCCUUAUUGCUUCUAUCUGAU